UUACGGCCAUAUCAUGUUAAAAAAACUGGUUCCCGUACGAUUACCAUGUUAAGCAACGUCGAGACUGGUCAGUACCUUGAUCGGUGACCGCUUGGGAAUACCAGGUGCUGUAA
This is a non-coding RNA of Acanthosepion pharaonis, 113 nucleotides long. Lineage: Eukaryota; Metazoa; Mollusca; Cephalopoda; Sepiida; Sepiidae. The record is from the annotation of a GenBank genome assembly.